UUACGGCCAUAUCAGGUUAAAACACCGGUUCCCGUACGAUCAAGUUAAGCAACGUAGAGCCUGGUCAGUACCGAGAUAGGAGACCAUUUCGGAAUAUCAGAUGCUGUAGG
Non-coding RNA from Acanthosepion pharaonis, 110 nucleotides. The record is from the annotation of a GenBank genome assembly. NCBI's taxonomy places the organism in Eukaryota, Metazoa, Mollusca, Cephalopoda, Sepiida, Sepiidae.